RNAcentral lists this ribosomal RNA (497 nucleotides) under uncultured bacterium. Its description in RNAcentral is "partial 16S ribosomal RNA". It matches the Rfam family "Bacterial small subunit ribosomal RNA", at positions 28 to 507 of the family's 1533-position model. The record is from RNAcentral.
GAUGAACGCUGGCGGCGUGCCUAAUACAUGCAAGUCGAGCGAACGGACGAGAAGCUUGCUUCUCUGAUGUUAGCGGCGGACGGGUGAGUAACACGUGGAUAACCUACCUAUAAGACUGGGAUAACUUCGGGAAACCGGAGCUAGUACCGGAUAAUAUUUUGAACCGCAUGGUUCAAAAGUGAAAGACGGUCUUGCUGUCACUUAUAGAUGGAUCCGCGCUGCAUUAGCUAGUUGGUAAGGUAACGGCUUACCAAGGCAACGAUGCAUAGCCGACCUGAGAGGGUGAUCGGCCACACUGGAACUGAGACACGGUCCAGACUCCUAAGGGAGGCAGCAGUAGGGAAUCUUCCGCAAUGGGCGAAAGCCUGACGGAGCAACGCCGCGUGAGUGAUGAAGGUCUUCGGAUCGUAAAACUCUGUUAUUAGGGAAGAACAUAUGUGUAAGUAACUGUGCACAUCUUGACGGUACCUAAUCAGAAAGCCACGGCUAACUACGUG